AACGAACGCUGGCGGCAUGCCUAACACAUGCAAGUCGAACGAAGUCUUCGGACUUAGUGGCGCACGGGUGCGUAACGCGUGGGAAUCUGCCCUUGGGUGCGGAAUAACUUCUCGAAAGGGAUGCUAAUACCGCAUAAUGUCGUAAGACCAAAGAUUUAUCGCCCAAGGAUGAGCCCGCGUAAGAUUAGCUAGUUGGUGGGGUAAAAGCCUACCAAGGCGACGAUCUUUAGCUGGUCUGAGAGGAUGAUCAGCCACACUGGGACUGAGACACGGCCCAGACUCCUACGGGAGGCAGCAGUGGGGAAUAUUGGACAAUGGGCGAAAGCCUGAUCCAGCAAUGCCGCGUGAGUGAUGAAGGCCCUAGGGUUGUAAAGCUCUUUUACCAGGGAUGAUAAUGACAGUACCUGGAGAAUAAGCUCCGGCUAACUCCGUGCCAGCAGCCGC
Molecule: ribosomal RNA, 444 nt
Filed under: uncultured bacterium
Lineage: Bacteria
Description: bacterial SSU rRNA
Rfam family: Bacterial small subunit ribosomal RNA
Source: RNAcentral